Molecule: ribosomal RNA, 452 nt
Filed under: uncultured bacterium
Lineage: Bacteria
Description: SSU rRNA
Rfam family: Bacterial small subunit ribosomal RNA
Source: RNAcentral
AGAGCGAACGCUGGCGGCAUGCUUAACACAUGCAAGUCGCACGGGCAGGGGAAACCCUGUCAGUGGCGGACGGGUGAGUAACGCGUAGGAAUCUAUCUCUGGGUGGGGGACAACCGUGGGAAACUACGGCUAAUACCGCAUGACACCUGAGGGUCAAAGGCGCAAGUCGCCUGGAGAGGAGCCUGCGUACGAUUAGCUUGUUGGUGGGGUAAAGGCCUACCAAGGCGACGAUCGUUAGCUGGUCUGAGAGGAUGAUCAGCCACAUUGGGACUGAGACACGGCCCAAACUCCUACGGGAGGCAGCAGUGGGGAAUAUUGGACAAUGGGCGAAAGCCUGAUCCAGCAAUGCCGCGUGUGUGAAGAAGGUCUUCGGAUUGUAAAGCACUUUCGACAGGGACGAUGAUGACGGUACCUGUAGAAGAACGCCCGGCUAACUUCGUGCCAGCAGCCGC